CCUACGGGAGUCAGCAGUGGGGAAUAUUGGGCAAUGGGCGCAAGCCUGACCCAGCAACGCCGCGUGAAGGAAGCAGGCUUUCGGGUUGUAAACUUCUUUUCUCAGGGACGAAGCAAGUGACGGUACCUGAGGACUAAGCCACGGCUAACUACGUGCCAUCAGCCGCGGUAAUACGUAGGUGCCAAGCGUUAUACGGAUUUACUGGGUGUAAAGGCCUUGUAGGCGGGAAGGCAAGUCAGAUGUGAAAACCAUGGGCUCAACCUAUGGACUGCAUGUGAAACUGUUUUUCUUGAGUACUGGAGAGGCAGACGGAAUUCCUAGUGUAGCGGUGAAAUGCGUAGAUAUUAGGAGGAACACCAGUGGCGAAGGCGGUCUGCUGGACAGCAACUGACGCUGAGGCGCGAAAGCGUGGGGAGCAAACAGGAUUAGAUACCCUGGUAGUC
RNAcentral lists this ribosomal RNA (443 nucleotides) under uncultured bacterium. Its description in RNAcentral is "partial 16S ribosomal RNA". It matches the Rfam family "Bacterial small subunit ribosomal RNA", at positions 338 to 795 of the family's 1533-position model. The record is from RNAcentral.